RNAcentral lists this ribosomal RNA (459 nucleotides) under uncultured bacterium. RNAcentral describes it as "partial 16S ribosomal RNA". It matches the Rfam family "Bacterial small subunit ribosomal RNA", at positions 338 to 795 of the family's 1533-position model. The record is from RNAcentral.
CCUACGGGGAGCUGCAGUGAGGAAUAUUGGUCAAUGGGCGGAAGCCUGAACCAGCCAAGUAGCGUGCAGGAUGACGGCCCUACGGGUUGUAAACCGCUUUUGCACGGGGAUAACACCCUCCACUUGUGGAGGUCUGCAGGUACCGUGCGAAUAAGGGCCGGCUAAUUCCGUGCCAGCAGCCGCGGUAAUACGGAAGGCCCGAGCGUUAUCCGGAUUCAUUGGGCUUAAAGGGAGCGUAGGCGGGCGUUCAAGUCAGCUGUAAAAUCGCGCGGCUCAACCGCGCCCCGCAGUUGAAACUGGACGCCUUGAGUUCACAACAGGCAGGCGGAAUUCGUGGUGUAGCGGUGAAAUGCAUAGAUAUCACGAGGAACCCCGAUUGCGAAGGCAGCCUGCCGGGGUGCGACUGACGCUGAGGCUCGAAGGUGCGGGUAUCAAACAGGAUUAGAUACCCUAGUAGUC